This 875-nucleotide ribosomal RNA is filed under the name uncultured marine group I thaumarchaeote. RNAcentral's name for it is "bacterial SSU rRNA". It matches the Rfam family "Archaeal small subunit ribosomal RNA", at positions 21 to 903 of the family's 1478-position model. Lineage: Archaea; Thermoproteati; Nitrososphaerota. The record is from RNAcentral.
CCUGACUGCUAUCGGAUUGAUACUAAGCCAUGCGAGUCAUUGUAGCAAUACAAGGCAUACGGCUCAGUAACGCGUAGUCAACCUAACCUAUGGACGGGAAUAACCUCGGGAAACUGAGAAUAAUGCCCGAUAGAACACUAUACCUGGAAUGGUUUGUGUUCCAAAUGAUUUAUCGCCAUAGGAUGGGACUGCGGCCUAUCAGUUUGUUGGUGAGGUAAUGGCCCACCAAGACUAUUACAGGUACGGGCUCUGAGAGGAGUAGCCCGGAGAUGGGUACUGAGACACGGACCCAGGCCCUAUGGGGCGCAGCAGGCGAGAAAACUUUGCAAUGUGCGAAAGCACGACAAGGUUAAUCCGAGUGAUUUGUGCUAAACGAAUCUUUUGUUAGUCCUAGAAACACUAACGAAUAAGGGGUGGGCAAGUUCUGGUGUCAGCCGCCGCGGUAAAACCAGCACCUCAAGUGGUCAGGAUGAUUAUUGGGCCUAAAGCAUCCGUAGCCGGCUCUGUAAGUUUUCGGUUAAAUCUGUACGCUUAACGUACAGGCUGCCGGGAAUACUGCAGAGCUAGGGAGUGGGAGAGGUAGACGGUACUCGGUAGGAAGUGGUAAAAUGCUUUGAUCUAUCGAUGACCACCUGCGGCGAAGGCGGUCUACCAGAACACGUCCGACGGUGAGGGAUGAAAGCUGGGGGAGCAAACCGGAUUAGAUACCCGGGUAGUCCCAGCUGUAAACUAUGCAAACUCAGUGAUACAUUGGCUUGUGGCCAAUGCAGUGCUGCAGGGAAGCCGUUAAGUUUGCCGCCUGGGAAGUACGUACGCAAGUAUGAAACUUAAAGGAAUUGGCGGGGGAGCACCACAAGGGGUGAAGCCUGCGGUUC